AACGCGAAGAACCUUACCAGGACUUGACAUGGAGGGGCCGCGUCCAGAGAUGGGCGUUUCCGCGAGGACCCCUCACACAGGUGCUGCAUGGCUGUCGUCAGCUCGUGUCGUGAGAUGUUGGGUUAAGUCCCGCAACGAGCGCAACCCCCGUCCUUAGUUGCUACCAUUUAGUUGAGCACUCUAAGGAGACUGCCGGUGAUAAGCCGCGAGGAAGGUGGGGAUGACGUCAAGUCCUCAUGGCCCUUACGGGCUGGGCUACACACGUGCUACAAUGGCGGUGACAAUGGGACGCUAAGGGGCAACCCUUCGCAAAUCUCAAAAAGCCGUCUCAGUUCGGAUUGGGCUCUGCAACUCGAGCCCAUGAAGUUGGAAUCGCUAGUAAUCGUGGAUCAGCAUGCCACGGUGAAUACGUUCCCGGGCCUUGUACACACCGCUAGUC
This 439-nucleotide ribosomal RNA is filed under the name uncultured bacterium. RNAcentral's name for it is "bacterial SSU rRNA". It matches the Rfam family "Bacterial small subunit ribosomal RNA", at positions 958 to 1398 of the family's 1533-position model. The record is from RNAcentral.